RNAcentral lists this ribosomal RNA (1687 nucleotides) under metagenome. Its description in RNAcentral is "bacterial LSU rRNA". It matches the Rfam family "Bacterial large subunit ribosomal RNA". The record is from RNAcentral.
ACCUCCCCCUCUUAACCAAAACAUUAUAAAUUGUCCCAGUAUAGGCGAUAGAAAAGACUACCCCGGCGCAAUAGAGGCUAACUGUACCGCAAGGGAAAGAUGAAAUAGCAAUGAAAACCAUAAGCAAAAAACAGCAAAGACCAACCCUUGUACCUUUUGCAUCAUGAUUUAGCAAGAACAACCAAGCAAAGUGAGCUAAAGUUUGCCUUCCCGAAACCCAAGCGAGCUACUUGCGAGCAGCUAAAAUUUGAGCGAACCCGUCUCUGUUGCAAAAGAGUGGGAUGACUUGCCAGUAGAGGCGAAAAGCCUACCGAGCUGGGUGAUAGCUGGUUACCUGUCAAACGAAUCUAAGUUCCCCCUUAACCCACCCCCUAAAGACACCCACCUUUGUCAACCUUGAGAACGUUGGGGUUAAGAGCAAUUCGAUGGGGGUACAGCUCCAUCGAAAAAGAACACAACCUCCUCCAGCGGAUAAUAAUCACCCCUCCCCGCACUGUGGGCCUUCAAGCAGCCACCAACAAAAGAGUGCGUCAAAGCUCCCUCAUUAAAAAAUCUAAAACCCUAUUUGACUCCCUCAACCAAAGCAGGUUAACCUAUGACAAUAGAAGAAUCAAUGCUAAAAUGAGUAAUCUGGAACCUAUCCUCCUACGGCGUAAACUUACAUUAAUACAUUAUUAACAGAACUCAACUUAUACCCCCACACUAACAAGCAAUACGUAUUCCUCAAUCUGUUAAGCCAACCCAGGAGCGCCCACAGGAUGAUUAAAACCUACAGAAGGAACUCGGCAAACCAAAGACCCGACUGUUUCCCAAAAACAUAGCCUUCAGCUAACAACAAGUAUUGAAGGUGAUGCCUGCCCAGUGACCCCCAAAGUUCAACGGCCGCGGUAUCCUAACCGUGCGAAGGUAGCGCAAUCAAUUGUCCCGUAAAUUGAGACUUGUAUGAAUGGCUAAACGAGGUCUUAACUGUCUCCUGUAGGUAAUCUAUGAAAUUAGUAUUCCCGUGCAAAAACGAGAAUGUGAACAUAAGACGAGAAGACCCUGUGGAACUUUAAAAUCACGACCACCUUACAACCUUACACAGCCCCACUGGGUCCACCCACACAUAAACCCCUGGUCGACAUUUUUCGGUUGGGGCGACCUUGGAGAAAAAAAAAUCCUCCAAACCCACAGACCACAACUCUUCACUAAGACCAACUCCUCAAAGUACCAACAGUAACCAGACCCAAUAUAAUUGAGCAAUGGACCAAGCUACCCCAGGGAUAACAGCGCAAUCUCCUCCAAGAGCCCAUAUCGACAAGGAGGUUUACGACCUCGAUGUUGGAUCAGGACAACCUAAUGGUGCAACCGCUAUUAAGGGUUCGUUUGUUCAACGAUUAACAGUCCUACGUGAUCUGAGUUCAGACCGGAGCAAUCCAGGUCGGUUUCUAUCUAUGAACACACUCCUCCUAGUACGAAAGGACCGGAGAAGUGGGGUCAAUACCACUGAGCACACCCCAACCUUCUAAGCAAUGAAUACAACUCAACUGCCAAGAACCCCCCCCCACACCCAACUCCUAGAAAAGGAUCCAGCUAGCGUGGCAGAGCUCGGCAAAUGCAAAAGGCUUAAGCCCUUUAUCCAGAGGUUCAAAUCCUCUCCCCGCAACUAAGACGAAAAGCGUCUCACGAAAGUGAGGCGCUUUUCUUU